This 493-nucleotide ribosomal RNA is filed under the name uncultured bacterium. RNAcentral describes it as "partial 16S ribosomal RNA". It matches the Rfam family "Bacterial small subunit ribosomal RNA", at positions 29 to 523 of the family's 1533-position model. The record is from RNAcentral.
AUUGAACGCUGGCGGCAUGCUUUACACAUGCAAGUCGAACGGUAACAGGUUAAGCUGUCGAGUGGUGAACGGGCGAGUAAUGCACCGGAACGUGCCCGGUCGUGGGGGAUAACGCAGCGAAGGCUGCGCCAAUACCGCAGACGAUCAGAGGCUGAAAGCGGGGGACCGUAAGGCCUCGCGCGAUUGGAACGGCGCAGGUCAGGUUAGGUAGUUGGUGGGGUAAAGGCUCACCAAGCCGACGAUCUGUAGCUGGUAUGAGAGGACGACCAGCCACACUGGGACUGAGACACGGCCCAGACUCCUACGGAAGGCAGCAGUGGGGAAUUUUGGACAAUGGGCGAAAGCCUGAUCCAGCAAUGCCGCGUGCAGGAAGAAGGCCUUCGGGUUGUAAACUGCUUUUGUACGGAGCGAAAAGGUCUCCUCUAAUACAGGGGGCUCAUGACGGUACCGUAAGAAUAAGCACCGGCUAACUACGUGCCAGCCGCCGCAGUAA